GAUGAAGAACGCAGCGAACUGCGAUAAGUAAUGUGAAUUGCAGAAUUCAGUGAAUCAUCGAGUCUUUGAACGCACAUUGCGCCCCCUGGUAUUCCGGAGGGCAUGUCUGUCCGAGCGUCAUUAGUCCAAUCUCAAGCCCGGCUUGUCGUUGGGUCGCACCGCCCGGGGCGGUGGACCCGAAAUAUAAUGACGGGGUCUAGCGGACCGUGGGCGCAGCGAGCUUUUACAGCACGCGUCCCGGCGUCAUCUAGACGCGUCUCCAACCAUACUCUCUGUAGGUUGACCUCGGAUCAGACAGGAUUACCCGCUGAACUUAAGCAUAUCAAUAAGCGGAGGA
This 337-nucleotide unclassified non-coding RNA is filed under the name soil metagenome. RNAcentral describes it as "partial contains 5.8S ribosomal RNA, internal transcribed spacer 2, and large subunit ribosomal RNA". The stretch from base 1 to 120 matches the Rfam family "5.8S ribosomal RNA", at positions 35 to 154 of the family's 154-position model. The record is from RNAcentral.